UACGUAGGGUGCGAGCGUUGUCCGGAAUUAUUGGGCGUAAAGAGCUCGUAGGCGGUGUGUCACGUCGUUCGUGAAAACCUGCAGCUUAACUGUGGGCGUGCGGUCGAUACGGGCAUCACUGGAGUCCGGCAGGGGAGACUGGAAUUCCUGGUGUAGCGGUGAAAUGCGCAGAUAUCUGGAGGAAUACCGGUGGCGAAGGCGGCAUCCUGGACCGACAUUGACGCUGAGGAGCGAAAGCUAGGGGAGCAAACGGG
Molecule: ribosomal RNA, 254 nt
Filed under: uncultured bacterium
Lineage: Bacteria
Description: partial 16S ribosomal RNA
Rfam family: Bacterial small subunit ribosomal RNA
Source: RNAcentral